GGGUUGUGAGGUUAAGCGACUAAGCGUACACGGUGGAUGCCCUGGCAGUCAGAGGCGAUGAAGGGCGUGCUAAUCUGCGAUAAGCGCCGGUAAGGUGAUAUGAACCGUUAUAACCGGCGAUACCCGAAUGGGGAAACCCAGUGUGACUCGUCACACUAUCAUUAACUGAAUCCAUAGGUUAAUGAGGCGAACCGGGGGAACUGAAACAUCUAAGUACCCCGAGGAAAAGAAAUCAACCGAGAUUCCCCCAGUAGCGGCGAGCGAACGGGGAGGAGCCCAGAGCCUGAAUCAGCAUGUGUGUUAGUGGAAGCGUCUGGAAAGGCGCGCGAUACAGGGUGACAGCCCCGUACACAAAAGCGCAUGUGCUGUGAGCUCGAUGAGUAGGGCGGGACACGUGGUAUCCUGUCUGAAUAUGGGGGGACCAUCCUCCAAGGCUAAAUACUCCUGACUGACCGAUAGUGAACCAGUACCGUGAGGGAAAGGCGAAAAGAACCCCGGGAGGGGAGUGAAAAAGAACCUGAAACCGUGUACGUACAAGCAGUGGGAGCCCCACCACCAAAGCAUUCUCUGGUGUUGAAGGCCCUGCAAAGCAGCAUCGCGGUGGCGGAGCGUCGUUUGCGACGCCCAACACACAAAACAAGCGGUGAAUGCUUUGGGGUGGGGUGACUGCGUACCUUUUGUAUAAUGGGUCAGCGACUUAUAUUCUGUAGCAAGGUUAACCGAAUAGGGGAGCCGGAGGGAAACCGAGUCUUAAUUGGGCGUUAAGUUGCAGGGUAUAGACCCGAAACCCGGUGAUCUAGCCAUGGGCAGGUUGAAGGUUGGGUAACACUAACUGGAGGACCGAACCGACUAAUGUUGAAAAAUUAGCGGAUGACCUGUGGCUGGGGGUGAAAGGCCAAUCAAACCGGGAGAUAGCUGGUUCUCCCCGAAAGCUAUUUAGGUAGCGCCUCGUGAAUUCAUCUCCGGGGGUAGAGCACUGUUUCGGCUAGGGGGCCAUCCCGGCUUACCAACCCGAUGCAAACUGCGAAUACCGGAGAAUGUUAUCACGGGAGACACACGGCGGGUGCUAACGUCCGUCGUGAAGAGGGAAACAACCCAGACCGCCAGCUAAGGUCCCAAAGUCAUGGUUAAGUGGGAAACGAUGUGGGAAGGCCCAGACAGCCAGGAUGUUGGCUUAGAAGCAGCCAUCAUUUAAAGAAAGCGUAAUAGCUCACUGGUCGAGUCGGCCUGCGCGGAAGAUGUAACGGGGCUAAACCAUGCACCGAAGCUGCGGCAGCGACGCUGAUGCGUUGUUGGGUAGGGGAGCGUUCUGUAAGCCUGCGAAGGUGACCUGUGAGGGUUGCUGGAGGUAUCAGAAGUGCGAAUGCUGACAUAAGUAACGAUAAAGCGGGUGAAAAGCCCGCUCGCCGGAAGACCAAGGGUUCCUGUCCAACGUUAAUCGGGGCAGGGUGAGUCGACCCCUAAGGCGAGGCCGAAAGGCGUAGUCGAUGGGAAACGGGUUAAUAUUCCCGUACUUGGUGUUACUGCGAAGGGGGGACGGAGAAGGCUAUGUUGGCCGGGCGACGGUUGUCCCGGUUUAAGCGUGUAGGUGUGUGUUCCAGGUAAAUCCGGUUCACUUUAACACUGAGGCGUGAUGACGAGGCACUACGGUGCUGAAGCAACAAAUGCCCUGCUUCCAGGAAAAGCCUCUAAGCAUCAGGUAACAUCAAAUCGUACCCCAAACCGACACAGGUGGUCAGGUAGAGAAUACCAAGGCGCUUGAGAGAACUCGGGUGAAGGAACUAGGCAAAAUGGUGCCGUAACUUCGGGAGAAGGCACGCUGACACGUAGGUGAAGUGAUUUACUCACGGAGCUGAAGUCAGUCGAAGAUACCAGCUGGCUGCAACUGUUUAUUAAAAACACAGCACUGUGCAAACACGAAAGUGGACGUAUACGGUGUGACGCCUGCCCGGUGCCGGAAGGUUAAUUGAUGGGGUCAGCGCAAGCGAAGCUCCUGAUCGAAGCCCCGGUAAACGGCGGCCGUAACUAUAACGGUCCUAAGGUAGCGAAAUUCCUUGUCGGGUAAGUUCCGACCUGCACGAAUGGCGUAAUGAUGGCCAGGCUGUCUCCACCCGAGACUCAGUGAAAUUGAACUCGCUGUGAAGAUGCAGUGUACCCGCGGCAAGACGGAAAGACCCCGUGAACCUUUACUAUAGCUUGACACUGAACAUUGAGCCUUGAUGUGUAGGAUAGGUGGGAGGCUUUGAAGUGUGGACGCCAGUCUGCAUGGAGCCGACCUUGAAAUACCACCCUUUAAUGUUUGAUGUUCUAACGUGGACCCGUAAUCCGGGUUGCGGACAGUGUCUGGUGGGUAGUUUGACUGGGGCGGUCUCCUCCUAAAGAGUAACGGAGGAGCACGAAGGUUGGCUAAUCCUGGUCGGACAUCAGGAGGUUAGUGCAAUGGCAUAAGCCAGCUUGACUGCGAGCGUGACGGCGCGAGCAGGUGCGAAAGCAGGUCAUAGUGAUCCGGUGGUUCUGAAUGGAAGGGCCAUCGCUCAACGGAUAAAAGGUACUCCGGGGAUAACAGGCUGAUACCGCCCAAGAGUUCAUAUCGACGGCGGUGUUUGGCACCUCGAUGUCGGCUCAUCACAUCCUGGGGCUGAAGUAGGUCCCAAGGGUAUGGCUGUUCGCCAUUUAAAGUGGUACGCGAGCUGGGUUUAGAACGUCGUGAGACAGUUCGGUCCCUAUCUGCCGUGGGCGCUGGAGAACUGAGGGGGGCUGCUCCUAGUACGAGAGGACCGGAGUGGACGCAUCACUGGUGUUCGGGUUGUCAUGCCAAUGGCACUGCCCGGUAGCUAAAUGCGGAAGAGAUAAGUGCUGAAAGCAUCUAAGCACGAAACUUGCCCCGAGAUGAGUUCUCCCUGAGACUUUAGGUCUCCUGAAGGAACGUUGAAGACGACGACGUUGAUAGGCCGGGUGUGUAAGCGCAGCGAUGCGUUGAGCUAACCGGUACUAAUGAACCGUGAGGCUUAACCUUACAACGCCGAAG
This 3028-nucleotide ribosomal RNA is filed under the name Salmonella enterica subsp. enterica serovar Typhimurium var. 5- str. CFSAN001921. Its description in RNAcentral is "23S ribosomal RNA". It matches the Rfam family "Bacterial large subunit ribosomal RNA". Lineage: Bacteria; Pseudomonadati; Pseudomonadota; Gammaproteobacteria; Enterobacterales; Enterobacteriaceae. RNAcentral also lists the same sequence under 1 other name. The record is from RNAcentral.